GGAUUGGGAAUCAGUUGCAAGGAAGGAAAAGAUAGAAGGUGUCGAACUUGAGUUGGUGAAACUUGAAGGGAUAGUGCAAGCCAUUCAUGAGAAUUUAGAGUACCUGAAGGAUAGGGAAGCAGUAAUGAGGGAAGAAAACGAGAAAACCAAUGCUAGAGUGGCAUGGUUAAGUAUAAUGUCUCUUGGUAUAUGCAUAGCAGCUGCAGUUCUUCAAGUAUUCUAUCUGAAGAACUUCUUUCGCAAGAAAAAACUCAUUUAGAUUUGACAGAUUUUGCGCGUUCUUGAAUCACACAUUCUACAGUAGCUUACAGAACAGAUCAAUUUACAACAUUUUGUUUUCCACUUGUAUUCAUAUUUUUGUUUCUGCAAUUCACUGUUGUGAUCUACAGGGAACGAAAAGUCCAGAUACCAUAUCUUCUGUAAUAGAGAAACUAGUAGUUCCUUAUGUUCAGGGGACAAGUGCAAUCCAAAUGUAACAUCG
RNAcentral lists this unclassified non-coding RNA (481 nucleotides) under Hevea brasiliensis (rubber tree). The record is from RNAcentral. Lineage: Eukaryota; Viridiplantae; Streptophyta; Magnoliopsida; Malpighiales; Euphorbiaceae.